This 117-nucleotide non-coding RNA is filed under the name Gorilla gorilla gorilla (western lowland gorilla). The record is from Rfam by way of RNAcentral. Lineage: Eukaryota; Metazoa; Chordata; Mammalia; Primates; Hominidae.
GCCGGGCACGGUGGCUCACGCCUGUAAUCCCAGCACCUUGGGAGGCUGAGGCAGGUGGAUCACCUGAGGUCAGGAGUUCGAGACCAGCCUGACCAACAUGGUGAAACCCUGUCUCUA